CACGUGGUUUACCUGUACGAUCACUUCACGGAGGUCCUGCUGCUGCUGGGCGCCUGUUUUUUCCAUGAGGUCUGAUCGCUACACGGUGAGUUGCCAUGCCUGACCUCUGGCUCCCUUGCUGGGAUGUCUACUACUCACGUGAUGCUCAGCCAGCUGGUAUGUGGUCUACCUCGCUCAUGGUGCUCAGGCUACUGGUAUGGUGUAUGCCUCUCUUAUGGUGCUCGGCCAGCUGGUAUGGUGUCUGCCACUCUCAUGGUGCUCAGCCAGCUGGUCUGGUGUUUGCCACUCUCUUGGUGCUCAGCCAGCUGGUCUGGUGUUUGCCAUUCUUAUGGUGCUCAGCCAGCUGGUAUGGUCUCUGCCACUCUCAUGGUGCCCUGCCUGCUGGUCUGAUGUCUGCCGCUCUCAUGUUGCUUGGUCAGCUGGUUUGGUGUCUGCGGCUCACAUGGUGCUCAGCCGGCUGGUAUGGGGUUUGCCAUUCACAUGGUGCUCAGCCAGCUGGUAUGGGGUCUACCACUCGCAUGGAGCUCAGC
Pelobates cultripes (western spadefoot toad) is the source of this 530-nucleotide non-coding RNA. Lineage: Eukaryota; Metazoa; Chordata; Amphibia; Anura; Pelobatidae. The record is from the annotation of a GenBank genome assembly.